CAAGUCGAACGCUUCUUUUCCACCGGAGCUUGCUCCACCGGAAAAAGAGGAGUGGCGAACGGGUGAGUAACACGUGGGUAACCUGCCCAUCAGAAGGGGAUAACACUUGGAAACAGGUGCUAAUACCGUAUAACAAUCGAAACCGCAUGGUUUUGAUUUGAAAGGCGCUUUCGGGUGUCGCUGAUGGAUGGACCCGCGGUGCAUUAGCUAGUUGGUGAGGUAACGGCUCACCAAGGCCACGAUGCAUAGCCGACCUGAGAGGGUGAUCGGCCACAUUGGGACUGAGACACGGCCCAAACUCCUACGGGAGGCAGCAGUAGGGAAUCUUCGGCAAUGGACGAAAGUCUGACCGAGCAACGCCGCGUGAGUGAAGAAGGUUUUCGGAUCGUAAAACUCUGUUGUUAGAGAAGAACAAGGAUGAGAGUAACUGUUCAUCCCUUGACGGUAUCUAACCAGAAAGCCACGGCUAACUACGUGCCAGCAGCCGCGGUAAUACGUAGGUGGCAAGCGUUGUCCGGAUUUAUUGGGCGUAAAGCGAGCGCAGGCGGUUUCUUAAGUCUGAUGUGAAAGCCCCCGGCUCAACCGGGGAGGGUCAUUGGAAACUGGGAGACUUGAGUGCAGAAGAGGAGAGUGGAAUUCCAUGUGUAGCGGUGAAAUGCGUAGAUAUAUGGAGGAACACCAGUGGCGAAGGCGGCUCUCUGGUCUG
RNAcentral lists this ribosomal RNA (706 nucleotides) under uncultured Bacilli bacterium. RNAcentral describes it as "bacterial SSU rRNA". It matches the Rfam family "Bacterial small subunit ribosomal RNA", at positions 58 to 736 of the family's 1533-position model. The record is from RNAcentral. Lineage: Bacteria; Bacillati; Bacillota; Bacilli.